GCUGACUUCUCUACACAGGCUUCUCAAGGUGCAUAUGCUGUUGAUUAUUCAACUCAAGGAGCACAGGCUGGGUUUCCAGGGAAUUUUUUAAACCAGAACUCUCAAUCUGGAUACUCCCGUUUUGGUUCAGGAAAUGAAUUCAUGUCUCAGGAUUAUAUGGCUCAUGGUUCGCAAGGUCUAUUUACGCAAGCUGGAUAUAAUGAUCCAUUACAAGAUGAUGGUUCACAGAAUCAUUUUGGCAUGUCCAAUGUUAAUUCUCUUCAGUCUCAGAGUUUACUCAAUCCAAUUUAUUCCCAGCCAUUUGCGCACUACAAUACACAGCCAUUGAACUUGCAAAGUUCUCAGCCUCAACAGCAGCAAGGGCCACAAGGCCAGGGCUUCCAAAAUCAGAAACUCCAGUACAAUAGUUGAAGACGGCAUGGUUGUUAUAUGAUGAUUGAUGGGUUAUAGUUUUGCAUCCAGCAAUUUGGUUUGUGCUGUCAACAUGUGACCGUCUUAUCUGACCUUAUGAUGAGGUAAAAGAGUUUGUCAAUAAUUCAGGUCAGUUGGUGACAUAUUCCUUGCCAAUAAUCUUGAAUGUCGAGUCAGAGGGCUGACAUGAUGGAAGUCUUCUUCUCUGGUCAAGGUAACCAAGCACAGGACAUCCGGUGCUGAGAAAGAACAAAUAACCCAUGUUAUCUUCGUGAAGUUUUACGUACUGUUUGAAAAGAAGGUAUACUGUUUCUCCAUGAGAGAAAGGUUACAUGGUGUGGUAUUGAGCCAGAAGGGUGGGUUUUAUUCAGGACACGGAGGUUGUUACUCGCGAAUUAUAAGGAGUACAUCAUUGUUUGAAGCUGCGAUCAUAUCUUUUGUACAGUGUCCAGGCAAAAUCCAGCUAACCCUUUCAGCUCGUCCUGACAUGUAAUUAUACUCUCUAGUUAUUAGUAUUGCAGGGAUGAUGAUGAUAGAUGUGUUUGUUAUUGCAUCACUUAUACGUUAUUGGGUACAUAAACAUGCAGGGUUUUGGUCUUUUAUUUGAAUUGGGUUGCUUGUAAUCCCAGUAUCAUUUUUGUGGAUGUCUUACGCGAUGCAUUUUGCUCGUCAAUGAUGGAAUAAUUUACGAGUACGUAAGCACUGCAUGUGUUCU
RNAcentral lists this unclassified non-coding RNA (1126 nucleotides) under Hevea brasiliensis (rubber tree). The record is from RNAcentral. Lineage: Eukaryota; Viridiplantae; Streptophyta; Magnoliopsida; Malpighiales; Euphorbiaceae.